Non-coding RNA from Paramuricea clavata, 1040 nucleotides. The record is from the annotation of a GenBank genome assembly. NCBI's taxonomy places the organism in Eukaryota, Metazoa, Cnidaria, Anthozoa, Malacalcyonacea, Plexauridae.
AAAAAAUAUUUAAAAAAUAAAACAUAGAUAUAAAAAUAUAUGUCAAAAAAAUAAAAAAAGCAAAUAAAAAACAAGAAACAAAAGCUAACAUGCGAUUUUCGUUUUCGAUUCUAAAAUCAAAUGUCCUCGACGUGGCCCAUCGUUAUCAUAGACCAGCAUGCCUUGCGAACUUUAAUGGCAAUUUUCAAUUGAACAAGACGCUCUAGAGAGCGUAAACUCGCUGGGGUUGUGCAAAUAAAAACUAAAUUUUGUCACCAUAUUUGCUCAUAAUUUGGUAACCGCUACAGGAAAACAGAACAAUUUACAGAAAAUUACAACAGUUUGCGGAAGUGGGAAGGUUCUUGUAUUUUGACUGUAACAUACUGUAAAAGGUAGCCAUUACCAGUAAGUUACUAUAGUAUCGCUAACAUCAAGUUUUGCGGCCGCUACCUAGGCAGUUUACAGAUAUAGACAAGUAUAAUCAACUCGAAUACAGUUUAAAGUGAGACUUUAUUGAGGAGAAUAGUAGAGAAAGAGCUGACAGUUCAGUUAGCAAUACUUGCAGAUACGCAUCGAAGUAUCAUUAUGCAAUAAAAGAAUCACAGAUUUUUUUACAGUAUAUAUCGCAUAAGAACAAAAUUCUGAAACAAUCACUAGGACUAUUUGAAGUUUAAAUAUUCAGUUUGAGUGUGAAUUAUGAUUAUAUAAUCACGGAAUAAAUCUUGCAUCUGAAGAAACCAAAUUUGGCAAGUUCUUUAAUGCAUGGAAACCAUUUCUGUAAGCUUUUAUAUGUUUAUUUUUUAUGAAGCGUCGACAGUUCAAUUUCAUUGAUUUACCAGUAUUCGGCUCUGUGGAGAUGGCGAUGUUCGUUGUAAAGGUACCAAUAAUGAGGGACAAUCAAUAUACGUUAGCCUUGUCUUCGAAGAAUUAACAGUCGUAUUUCAAGGAACUUGUGAAAUCGCCAAAAAAUCCACUUUAAAUUAAUAGCAAUAUUAAUUGAAUAGCGUACAAAUUCACGAACAAUUCAUAGCGUCCAUUCCGGCCCGUGCUCAGAAUAGUGG